UAGAAUUAUGUAGAGCAUAGGCAUUUGAACAAAGAUAGAGACCACAGGUAUAACUUUGCUCAUUUGAGAAUCCGGUUGACAAGGAAUUGACAUUUUAUUUAGUAGUUGAACAGACCAGAAUCACUGGACAAAGAUAUGGGAUUCGGUGAAUCAAAACAAGCAGCCCCAGCCGCAGCCCCAGCCCCAGCUCCAAGUAGAGUUUUUGACAAACCAUGGAGGGACACACCUUGGAAAGGAAGAGAUCAGUUGUUGGAGGACCUGAGGGCAUAUGUUCCACGUAAUCCUGACAUAGAACAUGUUAGGAUUCUGCUAGAUGGACCAGUCGGAGUGGGUAAAUCCAGCUUCAUCAACUCCAUCAACAAUGUCUUUCAGAAUAAAAUGACAAUGAAAGCCCAGGUUGAUUCUGCUAAUGCUGAUAGAAGCUACACC
Molecule: non-coding RNA, 429 nt
Organism: Salvelinus sp. IW2-2015
Lineage: Eukaryota; Metazoa; Chordata; Actinopteri; Salmoniformes; Salmonidae
Source: RefSeq, a predicted model, not a curated record